Molecule: long non-coding RNA, 1293 nt
Filed under: Anas platyrhynchos platyrhynchos (common mallard)
Lineage: Eukaryota; Metazoa; Chordata; Aves; Anseriformes; Anatidae
Description: lncRNA (ENSAPLG00000021345.1)
Source: RNAcentral
ACGGGGCCUUGUUCUCAACGCAUGUGUAUUUCCUAUUUUUUUUUAUGAUCAGCUAAAGAUUUCUUUUGCAUCUGCCAAGGAACUAUUUUCACAAAUAAGUAUGUAAAUCCUCUGUAAAUGUAUGCUAAUUACUUAUUUUAAUUACAAUGUAAAUAAGUAAUUACUGAAUAAUUUUAAAGUAUUUACAUGGGGGUUGUGUGAUUUAAAAGCUAACUUGUUGGAAGUAUAAAAACUAUAAAUUUUACAGCAAUUAUACCACAAUUUAUACACUGUGGCCAAAUACAAUUUCCAUGUGCUUCAUAAGAGAUAAAUAAAUACGUAAUUCCCCAGUAAUUACUGCAUAAUAACAAAACUAUUCCAUGUUUAUUUUUUCCCUGUUAAGUGAAAAAUGCCCUUACACUAAAACAAAUUCAGGAUGAGAUUUUUCACAAGGAUAAAUGAACAUCCAUUCAUCUGAUCCCAAGGAAAUUUCUAAUGAGUAAAAAAUAAAAUAAAAUAAAUACAUUUCAAAACAGAGGGGGGAAGAGAAUAGGAAGAGGAGAAAAAACAUAGGUGAAGCACAGGGAAACGCAGGGAAAAGACCACUCCUGGCCCCCGGCCUUUGCCCCUCCACGAGCCUCCACGGUGCUGAUCACUCGGGGACGGCGCCGCUCCACGGGACGUUCCUGCAGGGUCCCGGCCACGCUGAGGGUGCCCAGGCACGGGGCUGUGUGGAUGCUCCCCGGCGCUGGCUGCUUCCUCUCAUGGCUGCUGUUUCCUGCAAACGCUGAUGUGGGAGCAGAGCUCGGCAGGAAAUUGGCAAUCAAAAGUCCGUGCAGCUCUCCCUCCGUCCGGCGGGCCAGGGCCUGGCCCCACGCCACAGCAGGGCUGCCAGAGCUGCGAGGGCAUGAGGCGGCAUGCGGCAGCCCAGAGCUCCUUCCCUUUGCUGCCAUCUUGCCUAGGGGACACGGAAACGCCUCACCCUGCAAGGGGGCACCCACGCCGGCUCCUCGGGACCGAGGCGGCUGCUGCCCUCCUCGAGCUGCGCCCAGGCCCGGGGAUCUCCCGCGCUGCGGCCUCGCCGCCGGGCAAGGGUUAAGGGACAUGGCAGCUCCACUGGGCGCAUUCAUUACUACUGAUGCAAAAAUGACCAUUAAGGAAUCAUGACAGAGACCCUGCUCAUUUGUGGCUGGGACAAAGCACAGCUGCCUGGGGCUGCCUAAUGAAAUCUGAAACCAUCACAUUUAUUUGUCAUAUGGGUGUAACACAUUUGCUGAGCACUCUAAUAAAUGUAAUAAUCCAAAUAUUCCUCCA